GAGUGAUACUGUGGGUUUUCUUGAGUCUACGUUUGAUAAAAGCUCUUAUUUAGGACUUUCUCGGUGAGCACUGAGAAAACUCGUUUAAUCUUUUGUAGGGGGGUGUAAAACAAACUAUCGUGCCCCUGCCUCAUUAAUGUCAUAAAGCUUAUCCAUCAACCAGCCAACACCAAGCCUUUUGAGUUCCCUUUAUCAGAUAAUGUCAAGAACACCUGGGUUAGCGUUCUUCCCACCUCAGUCUAGUGCUUAUUCAGCCCUGAGCUGUGUUGAAAUUGCACACAUACUAGGUAGAAUGUUAUGAAACAGUUUUCAGUGCAGACAGCUGAGACCCAGUCACUUUCUCUGUUGAGUGUUUGAGCGAUUACACCGUACUUCUGCUAGCUUGCUUAAAACGUAUAAGGGGCCCCACAGGGAACAAUGGCCAUGACUUUUGUUCGUGCUCUGUAUAUAGCGAGAAAAAUGUGGGAACUACAAACAGUAGCUUAAUGAUGACUCAAGAAGUUCAGGAAAGACAGUAUAGGGCCAUAUAUCUGCCUGGUGCACCUGUCAUCUCUACAAGGCCCUGGACUAGUUUGCUGUAGCCUCUGGAAGGAGAAGAGUUGGCUACCGACUCCUUGCCAUUGACGUUUCAUCUCAUUUGUCGGAAUAGCGUGAAGACCUAGAUUUUAAACCUGUUCUGGACUCUCACCCUGACCCACAGAACCUGCAUCAUCUGCUUGGGUAACACCGAACCAGAUUUCACCUGAUCCUUCUGAACUGAGGGAGGGGAAUAUCACAAAAGCACCAGAAGAACACUAGCCUCCCAGAGGCCUGAUGGGAUUUCCUGUACCAGAACGACUUGGACAGAGAAAGAGCCUCAUUGUUCAGAGUCAGCAGGUAAGGAGGGAGGGAGAGUGGAGAACCAUGCUCGGGGAGGCUAAGGUC
This is a long non-coding RNA of Lynx canadensis (Canada lynx), 924 nucleotides long. RefSeq lists it as uncharacterized. The record is from RefSeq and is a predicted model, not a curated record. The transcript is spliced from 4 exons. NCBI's taxonomy places the organism in Eukaryota, Metazoa, Chordata, Mammalia, Carnivora, Felidae.